GUCAUUUAGAGGAAGUAAAAGUCGUAACAAGGUUUCCGUAGGUGAACCUGCGGAAGGAUCAUUAAUGAAACUUCAAAGUCGGCCAAAGGUUGUUGCUGGUGAUUAUUCACAUGUGCACGCCUUUGGUCGCAAAUCCACACACACCUGUGCAUCUAUGACUCGAGGUUGUAAUGACUGAGAGUAACUUUUAUACACUCUUGUAUGUAAUGGAAUGUCUUUUUGUGCUAUAAUGUACAAUAUAAACAACUUUCAACAACGGAUCUCUUGGCUCUCGCAUCGAUGAAGAACGCAGCGAAAUGCGAUAAGUAAUGUGAAUUGCAGAAUUCAGUGAAUCAUCGAAUCUUUGAACGCACCUUGCACCCUUUGGUAUUCCGAAGGGUACGCCCGUUUGAGUGUCAUUGUAAUCUCACUUCUACAACUUUAUUGUUGUUUGAAUGUGGACUUGGAUGUUGCCGUUUUAUCACRGCUCGUCUUAAAUGCCUGAGUGUACCCUGUUUUGCAGCGUAUCCAGUGUAAUAAACAUUUCACUAGAGUUGGUCGAAAGACCGCGUUGACUAUAUGGGCUCUAUGCUUCAAACCGUCUGCCAUGUGGACAAUUUCUUGACAAUUUGACCUCAAAUCGGGUGGGACUACCCGCUGAACUUAAGCAUAUCAAUAAGCGGAGGAAAAGAAACUAACAAGGAUUCCCCUAGUAACGGCGAGUGAAGAGGGAAAAGCUCAAAUUUUAAAUCUGGUGUCUUUGACUCCCGAGUUGUAAUCUAGAGAAGUGUUUUCCGUGUCGGACCGUGUACAAGUUCCCUGGAACGGGGCGUCAUAGAGGGUGAGAAUCCCGUAUAUGCCAYGGACUACCGAUGCUCUGUGAUACACUCUCAACGAGUCGAGUUGUUUGGGAAUGCAGCUCAAAAUGGGUGGUAAAUUCCAUCUAAAGCUAAAUAUUGGCGAGAGACCGAUAGCGAACAAGUACCGUGAGGGAAAGAUGAAAAGCACUUUGGAAAGAGAGUGAAACAGUACGUGAAAUUGUUGAAAGGGAAGCGUUUGAAGUCAGUCGCAUCUGUUGGGGUUCAGCCUGGCUUUUGCCUGGUGUAUUUCCUUUCYGAUGGGUCAGCAUCAGUUUYGACCGAGGGAAAAAGACAUUUGGAAUGUGGCUGUCUUCGGGCAGUGUUAUAGCCUUGUGUUGUAUGUCUCGGUUGGGACUGAGGAUUGCAGCGCGCCAUAAAUGGCCGGGGGUCGCUCCUCUCGACACGCGCUUAGGAUGCUGGCAUAAUGGCUUUAAGCGACCCGUCUUG
RNAcentral lists this ribosomal RNA (1286 nucleotides) under uncultured Sebacina. Its description in RNAcentral is "eukaryotic LSU rRNA". The stretch from base 610 to 1286 matches the Rfam family "Eukaryotic large subunit ribosomal RNA", at positions 1 to 656 of the family's 3401-position model. Lineage: Eukaryota; Fungi; Basidiomycota; Agaricomycetes; Sebacinales; Sebacinaceae. The record is from RNAcentral.